Molecule: small RNA, 126 nt
Filed under: Marmota monax (woodchuck)
Lineage: Eukaryota; Metazoa; Chordata; Mammalia; Rodentia; Sciuridae
Source: RNAcentral
GCCAGGCGUGGUGGUGCACGCCUGUAAUCCCAGAGGCUGGGGAGGCUGAGGCAAGAGGAUUGUGAGUUCAAGGCCAGCCUCAGCAAUUUAGCGAGGUGCUUAGCAACUCAGUGAGACCUGUCUCUA